AAGAUCCAGACCCGCUGAAUGCCAGAAUGACCUUCCUCUUAAAGUUUCAGUUGGUACUCAGACUUCAGAGGUCCCAUCAGUCAAUGUCUGUUGGUCCACUGUCCACAGGACCACUGACAGACCGCUUUGGGUAUGAAGUUGUGUUAAUCGUGGACCUGCUGGAGGAGGAUGAAGACAGUGUCUCUGCAGAGUCCUCACAGCUUCUCAACUCCAUGUCUGAACCCGGAGUCACGGCGCCAUCAGAAACACAUUCUGAUCUGUCAGACUGGAAAUGAAGCUCCACUAAGCCCCGCCCCCUUUCCAUCAGACGUCCAGCAAGCUGCCGCUCUGCAAGUGGACAGGAGGUGGUUCUGCCUUCUUGUUGGUGCUGAAAGGAAAACAGUCAGACUGGUGACAUUUUGUCUUCAAGAGUCAAUUUGCUCCGUUCUCAGGUCUUCAGAGCCACGAGAGUCCAGAUGUUCUACUACAAGACCUUUGGGAAACACGUCCAGCUGUUUCUGCAGCCAGCUGUGGUUCACAAGUGGAGAAAGGAUGAUCAGAGGGUGAUGGAGCAGCUCCAGCAGGAGGGGACGGUGGCUGUCAGAGGAGACCCGAGGACACAUUCAGCAGGAGAAACCACCACAGCUGAUGGGAUCGCAUCACUUUGAGCCUCCGAUGCAGCAGGUCCAGCCUGAUGCACCUGGAGAGAAACACCAUCAUCGACGUCCAGCUGCUGCAGUCUGUCUCCAGGCGUCUUGUUGUCCCACUGCAUGUGUUUUAACGUCUGCAGAGGACGCUAUGUGACGUCUUAACGUCAGUCGGUGUCGGUCAAACACUUUAAGACUGAAGCAGAUCCCAGAGCAGAGCAGUGACCUGCAGGAGGGACUCAGGAGGACUCCGGACCUCCUGGCUGAAAAUCACACGACUGCGGACCACAUCAUCGCCGACCACCGGCGACAGGUCCCCCGGCUUGAGAGGGAGAGAAAGCAUGGAGCAGUCCUGUGACGUGGGACACCUGGAGAAAAACCAGGCUUAUAUUCAGAAGUAACGUAUCCAUCGUCUGUCUGUGUAAUAACUGCAGGAUUUAUGACAUCACUAGUGUGGAGCCAAUCAUGUUCCAGUAUGGAGCUUGGAGAGAUGUGAGGUGGAAACCUGAAGCCUCCUGGUCUCAAACACGUCGUGUUUCCAUCUGUUCAUCCUUAGAAAUGAACAGAGUCUACAUGGCAUCCUACAGGGACACGAUGACGUCAGCUGUUCCACAGCUGGAUCCCCGGUUCAUUAAUUAAAAGGCAGAAAUAAGAGUUUAUAACUGCCCAGUUAACAGUUAAUGAUACCACUUUGAUGUCUGUGUGUUUUACGGCAGAAAACUCAGACCAGCUGACUGUGUGUUAAAUCAUGUGACCAUAUGCUGCUCAGAGCCACGUAGCAUCGAACUGGAGCCAACAUAAGAUAAGAUAAUCCUUUAUUAGUCCCACAACUGGGAAAUGACAGUUACAGCAGCAAACAGGAUAUGGAGGGUGCAAAGCAUGCAGGGAUAAGAGAAGGAUGAGCAUCCAGAAAGAAUGAAUACACAGGAAACUAGUACCUGCAGCUGUACACAGUACAGAAGAGAAAAAGACUGUUCACACUAGAGUCCCUCAAGUUAUGAUUAGUGGGUGGAUUGAUUACUGUACCGAUUUGUUUCAGUGACAUGGUGUCUGGUCCAGUGAGAGCUGCUCGCCAAAGGCUUUUCUAGAUGAUGUUCGCUUCCUUUGGAUAUGUGUGGUGCAGUCGUGUUGGGCCCGUGUUGACACUGUGAUGACGUCACGUUGAGCUAACGUUGUGAAGUGUUUGAGUAACGUCAGUGUGUUCGACUCCCAUCUGUUUCAGGCUGCGUUGCUCUGCACAAAACGGUGAAGCUGCAGCUCAGACCGACUCUCGUUGUUGUGUGUCCCUGAACAAGACACAAAGCUGCUGAUGGACGAGUGAUGUCUCUGAACUCCUGUCCAGGUUUCACAUUAAAAGCCUGACCUGAAAGUGGGCAUCGACUCAGGGAUGUCCUCACUGAUUUUAAUAUUGAUUAUCAGCUGAUGGGAUUAAACGUGUCAACAGUGAGAUACCUGUUGGAGAUCUUAUUUUUCAGGUGACUGAGCCUUUGUCAGGAUUUCUGAGUCCUUGAAAAUGCGGUGAUGAGUUGAAAUGUUUGCCCUCAGCAGUCGUGGUCAGUCACAUGCUCUGAAAACUGAACCGACGCUGAAACUGAACUCCUGCAUCCCGUCUGCUUCAGUGUUUAUUCUGUACGAACACUGGAGUCCAUCACGCAGGAGACCGCCAGUCCACGUUCCUGCACUGCUGUUCUCAGAAGGCUUCAGGUGACGCGAGCAUCUGUUCAGACAGGUGCAGAGAUGUUUCACCUGUCACAGGUGCACUGUGACGGUUUGGCGUGUCUUGUCUGACUGAUGAGUGUUUAAACGUUCGGCUGACAUCACGAGUUGUGGUGCGAGUCAGAAAAAUAAGAAAACGUCCAAACUCUGGGGCCCGUUUCAGAAAGCAGGUUCAGUGAGUCAAGCCUGAAAUGAGGGAAACUGUGGGUUAACUGGUUCAGGAACUCAAACCCGAGACAGAGGAGUAACUCACGUGGACGCAGUGAGUCUAAUGCAGCGCCAAAAGCUUUGUUGCUAUGACAACAAUUCCAGAUUCAUUUAAAAAAAACAAAAAAAACAACUACCAAACUGAGUGAGCCUCAUUCAGAGAACAAAGUCCUGAUCCUAAUGAGAUGAAACCUGAGCAGAAAAUGU
Scatophagus argus is the source of this 2756-nucleotide long non-coding RNA. RefSeq lists it as uncharacterized. The transcript has 3 exons. NCBI's taxonomy places the organism in Eukaryota, Metazoa, Chordata, Actinopteri, Scatophagidae. The record is from RefSeq and is a predicted model, not a curated record.